RNAcentral lists this ribosomal RNA (465 nucleotides) under Vreelandella stevensii. RNAcentral describes it as "partial 16S ribosomal RNA". It matches the Rfam family "Bacterial small subunit ribosomal RNA", at positions 338 to 795 of the family's 1533-position model. Lineage: Bacteria; Pseudomonadati; Pseudomonadota; Gammaproteobacteria; Oceanospirillales; Halomonadaceae. The record is from RNAcentral.
CCUACGGGGGGCUGCAGUGGGGAAUAUUGGACAAUGGGGGGAACCCUGAUCCAGCCAUGCCGCGUGUGUGAAGAAGGCCCUCGGGUUGUAAAGCACUUUCAGUGAGGAAGAACGCCUGGUGGUUAAUACCCAUCAGGAAAGACAUCACUCACAGAAGAAGCACCGGCUAACUCCGUGCCAGCAGCCGCGGUAAUACGGAGGGUGCGAGCGUUAAUCGGAAUUACUCGGCGUAAAGCGCGCGUAGGUGGCUUGAUAAGCCGGUUGUGAAAGCCCCGGGCUCAACCUGGGAACGGCAUCCGGAACUGUCAAGCUAGAGUGCAGGAGAGGAAGGUAGAAUUCCCGGUGUAGCGGUGAAAUGCGUAGAGAUCGGGAGGAAUACCAGUGGCGAAGGCGGCCUUCUGGACUGACACUGACACUGAGGUGCGAAAGCGUGGGUAGCAAACAGGAUUAGAUACCCCGGUAGUC